RNAcentral lists this ribosomal RNA (394 nucleotides) under uncultured organism. Its description in RNAcentral is "bacterial SSU rRNA". It matches the Rfam family "Bacterial small subunit ribosomal RNA", at positions 45 to 433 of the family's 1533-position model. The record is from RNAcentral.
GGCCUAACACAUGCAAGUCGAACGGUAACAGGAAGAGCUUGCUCUUUGCUGACGAGUGGCGCACGGGUGCGUAACACGUAUGUAACCUUCCCUUUACUGGGGGAUAGCUCCGGGAAACCGGAAUUAAUACCCCAUAGUAUUACGAAACGGCAUCGUUUUGUAAUUAAAGCUCAGGCGGUAAAGGAUGGACAUGCGCUCUAUUAGCUAGUUGGUAAGGUAAUGGCUUACCAAGGCUACGAUAGAUAGGGGGUCUGAGAGGAUGAUCCCCCACACUGGUACUGAGACACGGACCAGACUCCUACGGGAGGCAGCAGUGAGGAAUAUUGGUCAAUGGACGCAAGUCUGAACCAGCCAUGCCGCGUGCAGGAUGACGGCCCUACGGGUUGUAAACUGC